UGAGGAAUAUUGGUCAAUGGACGCGAGUCUGAACCAGCCAAGUAGCGUGAAGGAUGACUGCCCUAUGGGUUGUAAACUUCUUUUAUAUGGGAAUAAAGUUGUCCACGUGUGGAUUUUUGUAUGUACCAUAUGAAUAAGGAUCGGCUAACUCCGUGCCAGCAGCCGCGGUAAUACGGAGGAUCCGAGCGUUAUCCGGAUUUAUUGGGUUUAAAGGGAGCGUAGGCGGAUUGUUAAGUCAGUUGUGAAAGUUUGCGGCUCAACCGUAAAAUUGCAGUUGAUACUGGCAGUCUUGAGUGCAGUAGAGGUGGGCGGAAUUCGUGGUGUAGCGGUGAAAUGCUUAGAUAUCACGAAGAACUCCGAUUGCGAAGGCAGCCUGCUAAGCUGCAACUGACAUUGAGGCUCGAAAGUGUGGGUAUCAAACAGGAUUAGAUACCCUGGUAGUCCACACGGUAAACGAUGAAUACUCGCUGUUUGCGAUAUACGGCAAGCGGCCAAGCGAAAGCGUUAAGUAUUCCACCUGGGGAGUACGCCGGCAACGGUGAAACUCAAAGGAAUUGACGGGGGCCCGCACAAGCGGAGGAACAUGUGGUUUAAUUCGAUGAUACGCGAGGAACCUUACCCGGGCUUAAAUUGCACUCGAAUGAUCCGGAAACGGUUCAGCUAGCAAUAGCGAGUGUGAAGGUGCUGCAUGGUUGUCGUCAGCUCGUGCCGUGAGGUGUCGGCUUAAGUGCCAUAACGAGCGCAACCCUUGUUGUCAGUUACUAACAGGUGAUGCUGAGGACUCUGACAAGACUGCCAUCGUAAGAUGUGAGGAAGGUGGGGAUGACGUCAAAUCAGCACGGCCCUUACGUCCGGGGCUACACACGUGUUACAAUGGGGGGUACAGAGGGCCGCUACCACGCGAGUGGAUGCCAAUCCCUAAAACCCCUCUCAGUUCGGACUGGAGUCUGCAACCCGACUCCACGAAGCUGGAUUCGCUAGUAAUCGCGCAUCAGCCACGGCGCGGUGAAUACGUUCCC
This 1019-nucleotide ribosomal RNA is filed under the name uncultured bacterium. RNAcentral's name for it is "bacterial SSU rRNA". It matches the Rfam family "Bacterial small subunit ribosomal RNA", at positions 355 to 1375 of the family's 1533-position model. The record is from RNAcentral.